UGUCCCUACGGGGCGCAGCAGUGAGGAAUAUUGGUCAAUGGGCGAGAGCCUGAACCAGCCAAGUCGCGUGAAGGAUGACGGCCCUAUGGGUUGUAAACUUCUUUUGUCAGGGAGCAAUUGGGUCCACGUGUGGGCUUAGCGAGAGUACCUGAAGAAAAAGCAUCGGCUAACUCCGUGCCAGCAGCCGCGGUAAUACGGAGGAUGCGAGCGUUAUCCGGAUUUAUUGGGUUUAAAGGGUGCGCAGGCGGAGGUGCAAGUCAGCGGUCAAAUUGCGGGGCUCAACCCCGUACUGCCGUUGAAACUGC
This 305-nucleotide ribosomal RNA is filed under the name uncultured bacterium. RNAcentral's name for it is "bacterial SSU rRNA". It matches the Rfam family "Bacterial small subunit ribosomal RNA", at positions 334 to 636 of the family's 1533-position model. The record is from RNAcentral.